Non-coding RNA from Vicia faba (fava bean), 219 nucleotides. The record is from the annotation of a GenBank genome assembly. NCBI's taxonomy places the organism in Eukaryota, Viridiplantae, Streptophyta, Magnoliopsida, Fabales, Fabaceae.
AUGCCGACGAAUCAAAGCCUUCGUGAACCACCGCGCUCAACCCUUCAUCGAUCACUAUCCAACGAUGCGAGGCCGAUCCUCCCUCUUCCAAUCAUUUUCAGCCGUUAUUUCAUACUCCUUUUCGUCCGAUCACAAUCCUCUGAUCUUCUCCAAACUCCUCUUUAUUUCCUUCGCAUUGCUUGGUGCAGGACAUUAGCUUGGAACGCACAUAACUUGUGA